Centropristis striata (black sea bass) is the source of this 1022-nucleotide long non-coding RNA. RefSeq lists it as uncharacterized. Lineage: Eukaryota; Metazoa; Chordata; Actinopteri; Perciformes; Serranidae. The transcript has 4 exons. The record is from RefSeq and is a predicted model, not a curated record.
UGGAAACACACCUGACAUCAACACAGAUCGUAAUCUCACGAACGUUAAUGCCAUUCGCGUCAGAAAAUAAUUAGCUUAUAAACAGCAAACAUGUUCUGUCACCGAGUAAAAAUAGAUUGUCAGCAUUUUUACACAUUGGUGUUUUUACUUCACCCUGAAAAAAAGUGUAUGGAGAGGGUGUGUUAUGAACCUAGCUAACGUUAAGUGAGCUAAUAAACUGAAGUUGGUUAGCUUAAUGCUAACUGCUAAAGGAGCUAACAAACUCACCAACUGUCAGUGUGAUCUCGGGAGUCCGUGGCUGAGAUUUGUGCUGCGGAGCCACCUCUCCGAUGGCAGCCGGGCAGGGACAAACACUGCGGCGGCGCCACACCUGUUGCUCCUCCUGCUGUUGCUGUUGUGAGACGGUGUGCAGUCCCUGAAAGAGAAAGACUACAUCAACUUUUCCAUGGAUCGGGUGUCUGGAGGUUCAGUGAGUCAGCCUCUGGAGAAAUACCUAAAGGAGUCACAGUUGGAGGUCAUCACAGCAGUGGUCCUUCUUGAGCCUGAUAAAGUGAAUCACCAACUCCCUAAUGUUUCACCACAGUCCUCAAUCUUAUUACCUAACCUUGUGGGUCCAAACUUUUCAGUGAUGGACUCUCUUUAAGCUGAGCCAUUUUAAGCAGUUUGUGAGACUAUCAAGCCACGUUUCUCGUCAUGUUGAGUGGCCUGCAGGACAGGCCUGGACAGCAGCACUGUCUUUGGACAGAGCUGCACACUGGGGCCCACUGCCAGAUGUGGAGCAGUCCUCGCUCUGUACAGCUGCAAUAAUGCAUGCAAAGGAUUCACUAACUACAAUGAGCAUUUAAACCCCCAAAAAGCAGAAUAUCAAGACCAAAGUUUAAACCUGGCAACCACCAUCCAGGUACAUGAACCAACUGAGAUUUCUAAUGUUGGAAUUUAUUGUGGUGUAGUGACUCAAACAUGAGUUCUCCCAAAGUUGUAUGAAUCAUCAUUUUAUCUACAUUUUAUUUUCCUUUCCUUUC